GGCAUGUUAAUUCAAUGGUAGAAUAUUGUAGUACGGCCACAAGAAUAUAAGUUCAAAUCUUAUACAUGUCU
This 71-nucleotide transfer RNA is filed under the name Aspergillus nidulans FGSC A4. RNAcentral's name for it is "tRNA-Arg". It matches the Rfam family "tRNA". Rfam says of the family: Transfer RNA (tRNA) molecules are approximately 80 nucleotides in length. Their secondary structure includes four short double-helical elements and three loops (D, anti-codon, and T loops). Further hydrogen bonds mediate the characteristic L-shaped molecular structure. tRNAs have two regions of fundamental functional importance: the anti-codon, which is responsible for specific mRNA codon recognition, and the 3' end, to which the tRNAs corresponding amino acid is attached (by aminoacyl-tRNA synthetases). tRNAs cope with the degeneracy of the genetic code in two manners: having more than one tRNA (with a specific anti-codon) for a particular amino acid; and 'wobble' base-pairing, i.e. permitting non-standard base-pairing at the 3rd anti-codon position. Lineage: Eukaryota; Fungi; Ascomycota; Eurotiomycetes; Eurotiales; Aspergillaceae. The record is from RNAcentral.